AUUGAACGCUGGCGGCAGGCCUAACACAUACAAGUCGAACGAGUGGCGGACGGGUGAGUAAUGUCUGGGAAACUGCCUGAUGGAGGGGGAUAACUACUGGAAACGGUAGCUAAUACCGCAUACCAUGGGAUGUACCCAGUGGGGAUUAGCUAGUAGGUGGGGUAACGGCUCACCUAGGCGACGAUCCGUACCUGGGCUGAGAGGAUGACCAGCCACACUGGAACUGAGACACGGUACAGACUCCUACGGGAGGCAGCAUUGGGGAAUAUUUCACCAUGGGCGAAAGCCUGGUGCAGCCAUGCCGCGUGUAUGAAGAAGGCCUUCGGGUUGUAAAGUACUUUCAGCGGGGAGGCGUUACCCGCAGAAGAAGCACCGGCUAACUCCGUGCCAGCCGCCGCGGUAAUAC
Molecule: ribosomal RNA, 406 nt
Filed under: uncultured bacterium
Lineage: Bacteria
Description: partial 16S ribosomal RNA
Rfam family: Bacterial small subunit ribosomal RNA
Source: RNAcentral